Gossypium arboreum is the source of this 102-nucleotide small nucleolar RNA. It matches the Rfam family "Plant small nucleolar RNA R71". Rfam says of the family: R71 is a member of the C/D box family of snoRNAs containing the C (UGAUGA) and D (CUGA) box motifs. Multiple nearly identical copies of this snoRNA have been identified in Arabidopsis, and it is thought to function as a 2'-O-ribose methylation guide for 18S ribosomal RNA. The record is from Rfam. NCBI's taxonomy places the organism in Eukaryota, Viridiplantae, Streptophyta, Magnoliopsida, Malvales, Malvaceae.
AAACCAUGAUGCAGAUUGGAUCAACAUCUUAAAUUGCUCCCAAGCUUCUUGUAAGCUUUCUUGUUCUAGUUGCUUAAAUGUAGCAAUCUCUCUAUUGAGUUA